CUACUAAUCAUACUUACAAACUACAUUACCCUAAACCAUAUCCACACAUAACAGAAAUAAAAGGAAUCCCUCUAUGAAUUCUAGCAACAAACUUAGACAGCCCCGUUGAGAAUUCCACGAAAAGAAUGCAACUGCAUACAAAGAAAGACAUGAAAUACACAGCCGUAGAAGAGAUUGUAGCAGUAAAUACAAGAGAAACAGAACUUGAAAAGGCAGACACCAAGCGAAGAGAAAUAACAUAUAUGAAAUGUAGAAGCAGAGACAACGUACUCUGCAUAGGAGACGAUAUUUUCACUUGAAGAAGAAAUGAAGUAGACAUACCGUCAAGAGGAAGGAAGAGAAUGCGGUCCCGUACAGAGAGAAUCGGGGCGACUUCACUCGCCGAAGAAGAUAGGAUGAGGAAGAUGAAAAGAUGAGUCCUGGCUGUGGACCUGAAAUUUUGAAACCCUAGCCUAGGACCCGGUGAUAAUUGCGCAAAGAUUGUUAAUGUUCUAGCUCAAGCUUCGGAGUGACUUGAGUAUCGGUAAGCUCUUACCUUAUUCUUCUUUUUAUUUAUUCUUGCCAGGUUUUUGCCCUAACAACAUGGAGAUGGGGCUGGGGCUCACAAGUCGCCUUCU
This 617-nucleotide long non-coding RNA is filed under the name Carica papaya (papaya). Its description in RNAcentral is "long non-coding RNA (CPAP_LNC013530)". The record is from RNAcentral. Lineage: Eukaryota; Viridiplantae; Streptophyta; Magnoliopsida; Brassicales; Caricaceae.